This 749-nucleotide long non-coding RNA is filed under the name Crocodylus porosus (Australian saltwater crocodile). RNAcentral's name for it is "lncRNA (ENSCPRG00005018053.1)". Lineage: Eukaryota; Metazoa; Chordata; Crocodylia; Crocodylidae. The record is from RNAcentral.
AGAAAAUAUGGUAUGUGGUCAUAAAACAGUACACACACAAAACAGAACAAUCAAAAAAUGCUCAGUAUCAAGGAUGAACACCCACCCUGAAGACAUCAACCAGCCACUCCAGCCCAAACACAAAGAAAGGACCUGCCUUGUGGGGUUCUGCAGGACCAACACGAGUGAUUUCUAGAGCUCUCAGCUGCCUUCAGUCCUUCCACUUUCAUAUCUAGGGACUGUCAGCAAAAGCUCCUGGCUGAACUCAACCUUUGUGGUGGUCCAGAGGGACAAGAGAGGAGUCUAGUAGACAAGUUUGAAGCCAUGUAUAACUGUAGAGAACUAAGUGGGAGCUGGCACCAGCUAUAUAAAACAAGGAAAUGUCUCCAUUUGACUCAGAGUCCUUUUAAGACCAAGUCUCUUCUGAUUCUGGAAAGGAUGGAGACAAACUCCAAACUCCAUUGUGAAGAAAAUAUUCUACAUUCGCCAAUGCAAUGAAUAACCCUGGUAGAAGUCAGUCAUCCUUGUUUUCAGAACACUAUCCUAGAAGGCAAUGUGAUGCUAGUGUCAGGAGAAUCCCCACUACGGCACUGGGAGUCCAGCUGUGAAGGAACAAAACAAAACAGUACAUGAAGAAUCAAGGACAAAAAUACAAAUUGCAUAGGAGCAAGAGCAGGCUGUGAUCACAAAGCAUAUACAGGAAAGAGAGGAGGCGGUAUCUCUGUCGAAGUCCAGACAUACAGAAUCGCAGAACACAAGGCUCAGCUAAG